GCCACGGUGGUCUAGCGGUUAGAACGCUGGCCUUGUAAUCCUGGGGUCUCGGGUUCGAUUCCCGGCGAUGUCC
This 73-nucleotide transfer RNA is filed under the name Zootermopsis nevadensis. It matches the Rfam family "tRNA". Rfam says of the family: Transfer RNA (tRNA) molecules are approximately 80 nucleotides in length. Lineage: Eukaryota; Metazoa; Arthropoda; Insecta; Blattodea; Termopsidae. The record is from Rfam by way of RNAcentral.